RNAcentral lists this ribosomal RNA (394 nucleotides) under uncultured soil bacterium. Its description in RNAcentral is "bacterial SSU rRNA". It matches the Rfam family "Bacterial small subunit ribosomal RNA", at positions 26 to 428 of the family's 1533-position model. The record is from RNAcentral.
AGGACGAACGCUGGCGGCGUGCUUAACACAUGCAAGUCGAGCGGAAAGGCCUUUCGGGGUACUCGAGCGGCGAACGGGUGAGUAACACGUGAGUAAUCUGCCCAUCGCUUCAGGAUAGCCAUCGGAAACGGUGAUUAAUACUGGAUAUGACAUUCCUUCGCAUGUUGGGGUGUGGAAAGUUUUUUCGGCGGUGGAUGUGCUCGCGGCCUAUCAGCUUGUUGGUGGGGUAAUGGCCUACCAAGGCUUUGACGGGUAGCCGGCCUGAGAGGGUGACCGGCCACACUGGGACUGAGACACGGCCCAGACUCCUACGGGAGCAGCAGUGGGGAAUAUUGGACAAUGGGCGGAAGCCUGAUCCGGCAACGCCGCGUGAGGGAUGACGGCCUCGGUGUAA